RNAcentral lists this ribosomal RNA (298 nucleotides) under uncultured bacterium. RNAcentral describes it as "partial 16S ribosomal RNA". It matches the Rfam family "Bacterial small subunit ribosomal RNA", at positions 335 to 625 of the family's 1533-position model. The record is from RNAcentral.
GGCCCUACGGGACGCAGCAGUAGGGAAUUUUCGUCAAUGGGCGCAGGCCUGAACGAGCGAUGCCGCGUGAGUGAAGAAGGCCUUCGGGUCGUAAAGCUCUGUUGCGGGGGAAAAAAGGCAGCAUCAGGAAAUGGGUGCUGACUGAUGGUGCCCCGCCAGAAAGUCACGGCUAACUACGUGCCAGCAGCCGCGGUAAUACGUAGGUGGCGAGCGUUAUCCGGAAUGAUUGGGCGUAAAGGGUGCGCAGGCGGUCCUGCAAGUCUGGUGUGAAACGCCUGAGCUCAACUCAUGCCUGGCU